AAAAUAGAGGAAUUUGUUUCAGCACAUGGUACAGUACUCCUGUUUAUUGAAAAAUCUGUCCAAUGUUACAAUGAAUCAUUGCAUCAGCCAGAAUGUCCGUUCUUAACUUUUUCUACAAGAAAUUCAACUUGAAAAGGCCAACGGUAAAAACUUCAGCCUAAUCUCUAAGACUAUGGAGUCCUCAAAAAUGCUAAGAGGGGAAAAAUAAUCAAGGCAUUUAUUUUAAUCACAGUCUUAUGUGGUCCUACAAAAUUUAAGAUCAAUCUUAUCAAAGUUUUUCUAUAGACUGAACAUGUGACAUCACUGCCACAACAACAAAAAAAGCACUUUUGACUAUUUAGUUCAUAAAUACUAAACUAUUCCUGGUGUGUCAAAUUUAGACAGUACAGAUCAAUAUCCACCCUCUUGAUCAAUACAUACAGAGGAACACAUUAAGUCUAGGAAAAUGACACGUGCGCUUUCAGUGAGAACUUGGUAUUCAAUAAUAAAAUCGCUUAUUUAAUAUCACACAUUUGGGAAAAAAAAUAACACCUGUGUAAAACAGCCAAAUUUUCUCUGUAUUCAGAUCCAGUUUCACUGAUUAAUUUCACUCCCUUAACAAAUAUUCAUCAAGUACCUACUAAAGUCAAAAUUGAACAUGAGCAAUUUCUCAUCCAAAUCUUAGACAUGUAUAGUUAGUUACUAUGUUAUCAACCUCUCAAUAGGCCUUCUACUAGUCUUGAAUUACACUAGAAGAUGCACUUAAUAUGGUAUUUAUGUACAUGAUCAAAGUUUUAUGAUUAAUUCUUUAUUACAUCUCAACAGAUGUUCCUUACUUGAUGGCCCCUUACCAUGGGGGUUUCACUUCCCCUUUAUAUGGCUAAGAGAAAAUAUUGGAAUUCUAUAUUGGAAUUCUAAUAAGGGUUGUUUUGAGGAUAAAAUGAAAAUCAAUUUAUAAAGUUAAAAGGAUUCCAAAGCCAAUGUAGAAAUGUUUCUUUUGAAGGAAGACAACGUUCUCUUCAAAUAUUCUCAAAUGUUCACUACAGUUAUUUCUUAAGUCUAAAUGCUAAACACUUGUUAUCUGCACAGGCAAGGUUCUAGGAACUAAGAAUACAAUGGGGAAUGCAAUGGUCCCUACCCUCAUUAUGCUUACAUUUAACAAACUGGUAUUAUCUAUGUGCAAUGUACCAUGCCAGUGCUUUGGGGCAUACAAAGAAGACAUCCUGUCCUGGACUUUACAACUUAGUG
This is a non-coding RNA of Callorhinus ursinus (northern fur seal), 1227 nucleotides long. The record is from RefSeq and is a predicted model, not a curated record. NCBI's taxonomy places the organism in Eukaryota, Metazoa, Chordata, Mammalia, Carnivora, Otariidae.